UUGAGCUUGGAUCCUGGCUCAGAUUGAACGCUGGCGGCAGGCCUAACACAUGCAAGUCGAGCGGAAACGAUGGAAGCUUGCUUCCAGGCGUCGAGCGGCGGACGGGUGAGUAAUGCAUGGGAAUCUGCCCGAUAGUGGGGGAUAACCUGGGGAAACCCAGGCUAAUACCGCAUACGUCCUACGGGAGAAAGCAGGGGAUCUUCGGACCUUGCGCUAUCGGAUGAGCCCAUGUCGGAUUAGCUUGUUGGUGAGGUAAUGGCUCACCAAGGCGACGAUCCGUAGCUGGUCUGAGAGGAUGAUCAGCCACAUCGGGACUGAGACACGGCCCGAACUCCUACGGGAGGCAGCAGUGGGGAAUAUUGGACAAUGGGCGAAAGCCUGAUCCAGCCAUGCCGCGUGUGUGAAGAAGGCCCUCGGGUUGUAAAGCACUUUCAGUGGGGAAGAAAGCCUUGGGAUUAAUACUCCCGAGGAAGGACUCACCCCA
RNAcentral lists this ribosomal RNA (484 nucleotides) under Halomonas sp. M17-C41. RNAcentral's name for it is "bacterial SSU rRNA". It matches the Rfam family "Bacterial small subunit ribosomal RNA", at positions 1 to 481 of the family's 1533-position model. The record is from RNAcentral. Lineage: Bacteria; Pseudomonadati; Pseudomonadota; Gammaproteobacteria; Oceanospirillales; Halomonadaceae.